GGGCCAGGGACAAUGUCAGGUGGGUAGUUUGACUGGGGCGGUCGCCUCCUAAAAUGUAACGGAGGCGCGCGAAGGUUCCCUCAGGCUGAUUGGAAACCAGCCGACGAGUGCAAAGGCAUAAGGGAGCUUGACUGCAAGACAUACAGGUCGAGCAGGUGCGAAAGCAGGUCUUAGUGAUCCGGUGGUUCCAUGUGGAAGGGCCAUCGCUCAACGGAUAAAAGGUACGCCGGGGAUAACAGGCUUAUCGCCCCCAAGAGUCCAUAUCGACGGGGCGGUUUGGCACCUCGAUGUCGGCUCACCGCAUCCUGGGGCUGAAGCAGGUCCCAAGGGUUGGUCUGUUCGCCCAUUAAAGCGGUACGCGAGCUGGGUUUAAAACGUCGUGAGACAGUUUGGUCCCUAUCCGUCGUGGGUGUUGGAUAUUUGAGAGGAGCUGCUCCUAGUACGAGAGGACCGGAGUGGACGAACCUCUGGUUUUCCGGUUGUGAUGCCAAUUGCAUCGCCGGGUAGCUAUGUUCGGAAAGGAUAACCGCUGAAAGCAUCUAAGCGGGAAGCCAACUCCAAAACUAGAUUUCCCUUCCUCCUUCGGGAGGACCGUAGACCCCUUGUAGACUACAAGGUUGAUAGGCCAGAUGUGUAAGCACAGUAAUGUGUUCAGCUAACUGGUACUAAUUGGUCGCGAGGCUUGACCUU
Molecule: ribosomal RNA, 690 nt
Filed under: Nitrospinaceae bacterium
Lineage: Bacteria; Pseudomonadati; Nitrospinota; Nitrospinia; Nitrospinales; Nitrospinaceae
Description: partial 23S ribosomal RNA
Rfam family: Bacterial large subunit ribosomal RNA
Source: RNAcentral